AGAAGAGCUGAUCAAUCUUUAAGUUGUGACAUGAACGGGCCCACUAGUGGGGAGCCACACGGGCUUUGGACUAGCCUCUGCUCUUCCUGUGUGAGCCAUUUGGGAGGGAAUCUGAUGUCUUCUUUAUUUCUAAAAGCUCUUUGCCAGUGCACUCAGAUUUUGUAGCAUGGAAUUGAAAUUGCAUAAAUCAGGGAGACCUGAAACAGCACCAGCUCUUCUGAAGCACAGUGUAACACAGAGAGCAGAG
This 247-nucleotide long non-coding RNA is filed under the name Homo sapiens (human). RNAcentral describes it as "HSALNT0158077". Lineage: Eukaryota; Metazoa; Chordata; Mammalia; Primates; Hominidae. The record is from RNAcentral.